GACGGGGGCCCGCACAAGCGGAGGAACAUGUGGUUUAAUUCGAUGAUACGCGAGGAACCUUACCUGGGCUUAAAUGUAGAGUGCAUUUUUAGAGAUGGAAAUUCCCUUCGGGGCUUUCUGCAAGGUGCUGCAUGGUUGUCGUCAGCUCGUGCCGUGAGGUGUCGGGUUAAGUCCCAUAACGAGCGCAACCCUUAUCGUUAGUUGCCAGCUGGUAAAGCAGGGGACUCUAGCGAAACUGCCACCGUAAGGUGAGAGGAAGGUGGGAUGACGUCAAAUCAGCACGGCCCUUAUGUCCAGGGCUACACACGUGUUACAAUGGCCGGCACAGAGGGCAGCUACCUGGUGACAGGAUGCUAAUCUCGAAAACCGGUCUCAGUUCGGAUCGAAGUCUGCAACUCGACUUCGUGAAGCUGGAUUCGCUAGUAAUCGCGCAUCAGCCAUGGCGCGGUGAAUACGUUCCCGGGCCUU
RNAcentral lists this ribosomal RNA (468 nucleotides) under uncultured Sphingobacteriales bacterium. RNAcentral's name for it is "bacterial SSU rRNA". It matches the Rfam family "Bacterial small subunit ribosomal RNA", at positions 912 to 1382 of the family's 1533-position model. Lineage: Bacteria; Pseudomonadati; Bacteroidota; Sphingobacteriia; Sphingobacteriales. The record is from RNAcentral.